UACGAAGGGGGCUAGCGUUGUUCGGAAUUACUGGGCGUAAAGCGCACGUAGGCGGAUAUUUAAGUCAGGGGUGAGAUCCCGGGGCUCAACCCCGGAACUGCCUUUGAUACUGGGUAUCUCGAGUCCGAGAGAGGUGAGUGGAAUUCCGAGUGUAGAGGUGAAAUUCGUAGAUAUUCGGAAGAACACCAGUGGCGAAGGCGACUCGCUGGACAGACAUUGACGCUGAGGUGCGAAAGCGUGGGGAGCAAACAGG
This 253-nucleotide ribosomal RNA is filed under the name uncultured bacterium. RNAcentral's name for it is "partial 16S ribosomal RNA". It matches the Rfam family "Bacterial small subunit ribosomal RNA", at positions 524 to 776 of the family's 1533-position model. The record is from RNAcentral.